RNAcentral lists this ribosomal RNA (835 nucleotides) under Rhodotorula sp. RNAcentral's name for it is "partial large subunit ribosomal RNA". It matches the Rfam family "Eukaryotic large subunit ribosomal RNA", at positions 76 to 931 of the family's 3401-position model. The record is from RNAcentral. Lineage: Eukaryota; Fungi; Basidiomycota; Microbotryomycetes; Sporidiobolales; Sporidiobolaceae.
UCCCCUAGUAGCGGCGAGCGAAGCGGGAAGAGCUCAAAUUUAUAAUCUGGCACUUUCGGUGUCCGAGUUGUAAUCUCUAGAAAUGUUUUCCGCGUUGGACCGCACACAAGUCUGUUGGAAUACAGCGGCAUAGUGGUGAGACCCCCGUAUAUGGUGCGGACGCCCAGCGCUUUGUGAUACAUUUUCGAAGAGUCGAGUUGUUUGGGAAUGCAGCUCAAAUUGGGUGGUAAAUUCCAUCUAAAGCUAAAUAUUGGCGAGAGACCGAUAGCGAACAAGUACCGUGAGGGAAAGAUGAAAAGCACUUUGGAAAGAGAGUUAACAGUACGUGAAAUUGUUGGAAGGGAAACGCUUGAAGUCAGACUUGCUUGCCGAGCAAUCGGUUUGCAGGCCAGCAUCAGUUUUCCGGGAUGGAUAAUGGUAGAGAGAAGGUAGCAGUUUCGGCUGUGUUAUAGCUCUCUGCUGGAUACAUCUUGGGGGACUGAGGAACGCAGUGUGCCUUUUGGCGGGGGUUUCGACCUCUUCACACUUAGGAUGCUGGUGGAAUGGCUUUAAACGACCCGUCUUGAAACACGGACCAAGGAGUCUAACAUGCUUGCGAGUAUUUGGGUGUCAAACCCGGAUGCGUAAUGAAAGUGAAUGGAGGUGGGAACCGCAAGGUGCACCAUCGACCGAUCUGGAUUUUUAAUGAUGGAUUUGAGUAAGAGCACGUAUGUUGGGACCCGAAAGAUGGUGAACUAUGCCUGAAUAGGGCGAAGCCAGAGGAAACUCUGGUGGAGGCUCGUAGCGGUUCUGACGUGCAAAUCGAUCGUCAAAUUUGGGUAUAGGGGCGAAAGAC